AAAUAUGCUUUGCAUUUUUGAUCAACAAAUAUUUGGUAAACAACAUCCUUGGGUAAACAGCAUCUACCACUGUAGAUGGUUUUUGGGGUUAAGAGACACAUUUUUCCUGGUAGGCUUUAGAGCUAGGAGAAACAUUUUUCUUCCUCAGUAAAGGAAGAACUGUUGAAAAUCUCUUGUAAAUCUGUAAGUGAGUUGUAAAAUAUGCCGAGUUUCUCAUUUUUUGGUUUUGUUUUUUAGCAAAAUGUUGCCAAUUUUAUUUUAUUUUUUCAGCUUUAUUGAAGUAAAUUUGACAGAUAAAAAUGAUAUAAAUGUAAAUUAUACAUGAUGCUUUGAUAAUCAUAUGUAUGUUAUGACUAAUUACUGCAUGUUUUUUGACCACAAUAGUUUUCCUCAUUUUCUCUCCUGGUUUUCCUUCCUAUCUCACUCCUUCCCUUCCUUCUUCUGUCCUUGUUUCCUUCCUUUUUAUUUCCUCCUUGUUUCCUCCUUCCUCCUCUCUCCUUCCUUUUUUCUUCCUACCUUUCUCCUUUUCUCUUUCUUUCUUUCUCUUUCUUUCUUUCUUUCUUUCUUUCUUUCUUUCUUUCUUUCUUUCUUUCUUUCUUUGUUUCUUUCUUUCUUUCUGUGGCGCAUCCCCAAGGAUUACUUUUCUAAGGAACAUACUGUACUUUGGAUAAAUAUAAGACUACACUGAUGGAAUGACUCCCUAGAUAUUAUGUUUAUUUCAGUGUUUUCCUUAAAAAGUGCAGAUGUUAAGUAAUAAGGAUGGGAUAAGCAAGCAAUGAGGUUGGCCCAGCUGAUAACUGUACACAUGAAAGUUUCCUAAGUGUACUCUGUCGUGAUGAGGUCAGCUCUUGGAGUGUACAGACAGGGUAAAGAGAGAAGAUCUUGAAGUAGUGAGGUUUUCAAUAGUUUAAUGUCAGAGGAGAUGCUAAUGAUAACACUUAUGUUUAGAUGUUUUUGAAAUACAAGUAACACAGUUUGAAUUAUAACUAGAGAAAUUCUGUUGGCAUAGUCUCUUCUUUUUCAUCUGCAUAUAGGGUUGAUGUCAUUAGGAGACUACUUUGUGCUCUAGGUAUCUUUCCUUUGUAGAGGAGAAGCAAGUAAUAAAAGAAACAAGAGAAAUGCAAAUUAAAAUACUGCUGAGAUUCCAUCUCACUCUAGAAAGAAUGACCAAGAUCAAGAAAUAACAGAAGAGAACAAGAACUCACCAAGAAGCAAGCCCUCCCUGUCAACCAGCACCAUGCGUGGGCUGCUGCCAGGGCCCACCCCCUUCCAGCACAUGAGCUGGGAAACAAGAACAGCUGGACCCCCUACCCUUCAAGCAACCGGCUGAUCUGGAGAAACACAGGCUGAGAUGACAGCUGUUGAGGGAAACGGAGAGUUAUACUGCAUGUACAGGCCCUUGAUUUGACAAAGACUGGAAGGGAUUAUCAACAGUCAACCUUUUUCUCUUCUGCUCUGGGCUGGAGAUGACAGACCUAACCCUGUCAACACUUUAAAUAUGUCACAAGUUCAAGGGGAACAUAAUGUAUUACUCUAGUAGUGAAGAAAAAUGAAUUAUUAACAAAAUUAAAUUCCAUUUUUUCAUCCUGUCUCCUGAAGAAAAAGAAGUCAAAAAUUUUUGGAAGAUUAGAGCUUACAUUGAGACCAUUAUUGACAGGAUCCAUGGUGAGCCACUGUGGGGAAAGCCAGAUGCCAGCCUUUUCUUGUGACUCAGUGCCAUUCAUGGACUGUGCGGGAAGAGAACAAGAAAUCAACAAGAAGCAAGCCCUCCUUGAGGAUCAGCACAAUGCAUGGGCCACUAGGGGAACAACCAGACCCCAGCCUUUUCCUGUGAGUUGGUGCCAUUCACAGACUGUGGGGGAAGAGAAUAAGAAGUCACCAAGAAGCAAGAAUUGAUGCCAUGCAUGGGCCACUGGGAGAAGAACCAGAUGCCAGCGCCUUCUGGCAUAUGGGUUGAGAGACAAGAAGAGUCAACCUCCCUCUCCACUGUAAAUGACUAGCUAAUCCAGAGAAACACAGGCUUUGAUGAUAGCUAUUGAGGAUCUGUGAUGUUCAGUUUCCAUACAGAGUACCUCUCAGUGCUAAUCAUCCAUUUAGGAUCUUGGAACAUAGCAAUGAUUAUUCAGUGUUUCUGGCAUGGGAAUUUCAUAUUCUGACUCUGCAUUAAACUAGCAAACUAAUCUUAUGUUUAGAUAAUGUGUGAAGGUCUUCCUGGAUUGUCUUACUGCCUUGAAAAGAGACUCAUGAGAAACAAUGCCGAGGGCCACUGUGUGCAGAUGAAUAAGCUGAACAAUACCUGCAAGAUGUCUCAGGUUGUGCUAUUCAUAUGGGCUCUGUUAGGAAUGGCUUCAGUAGAUUUGUGUACCUUGAAAGUCCUCAAAAUGUCCUCUGCAUUUGCAAUAUAUCAUCAUGUAUGUACUUCCCUCUGCAUGACAAUAGAAAGGGUUAAGUGUGGUUUGGGAGGAGUUUAAUCCUCUUGGGCUUGAAUUUCACUUCUGCCACUGAAAAGCCAUGAAGGCCAUGCGCUAAACUUUCAGAAUCUUUAUGUGAAAUGGGUCUACCUGUGCUUACCUUAUAAUGUUGCUAUGUGUGCAUGGGCCAGGGUAAGGAUGUAGAAGAUGAAAUUAUUAAUUGUGAUCCACACACAUUUUCUCCUUUAAUCCCCAUUUGGCCCUAACACAUGGGGAAACUGAGGGUCAGAGAACAUAAGGCUGUCUUAGAUAAGACAGCUAUGAAGUGACAGAGAAUUGAUUCAAACUCAGAUUUGGCAGCUUGUGCUCCCUCUAAACUAACAAGCUGACUUUGUACCUAUUUCUACGGAGGAAUCUCCUUUUCCUCCAAGCCUUUUUUCAUGUCCAGCAUAAAUAUUAAUGUGGCUACCAUCUGCCUCCAUGGUCAAAUCUAUUUUAGCAAAUGAAGAAAAUUGCUUUUUGUUUGGUUUCGUGUAUAUGUGUUAUGCUUUCUUUUGACUAUCCAGUCCAUUUUUGCUAUAGAGAGUUGGUUACCUAGGGAACUAACAAACAGCACUGGUAAUUUUAAAAAAGUGAGAUGUAAGUUCAAAGUCGUUAGAAUUGUUGGCUGAAUUUCAAGUAGUGACCUCUGUAUUGACUAGAAAGUAACAUAAUUUUACUUUAUAUAUAUAAAAAGGUGGGAGAGAAGUGGAAAAGUUGAGGAGAGUUAGUGAAAAACAGGAGCCUUUAAUUGUAGAUAUUGUACCUGCAGUUGAAAGCUAGAUAAUGAAUAUAUUUUCUUCAGGUAGUAUAAUUUACAUGUAACUCGCAUUGCUUUAGGACAUGUUUUAUGUAUUUAAAAGGAAUAAAUCUGGUAUGUCAUGUUAUAGGAAAUAUGUAGCCACGGAUUGUUUAAAUUCUUUUCUGGAAUCUUCCCUCUCCCAGUGCUUAUCUUUCUUUUUUAAAGAAGUCUUAGCUUAGUUCAAUGAUACAAAGUUCUUUCAAUGCACCAACUAUUGUGAAAAAAAUUACUGAAAUUUAAAAAAUGAAACAAAAUGACCUAGAAUCUCUUUAUCUGCCUCAGGAACUACAACUUAUAAAGAUAAGGGUAGGUCAGAGAGAUUCAAUUGAAAGUGACACAGGAUUUUAGGAAUUAAAGGCAUGACUGGGCAUAAUGCUUAUUUGAGAAAUCUGAGGCUUCUAUACCAAAAUGUUUUAGUCAGCUUUUCCUUUGUUGGAACACAAUAUCUCAUACCCAAAACUUAAAGGAGAAGAGAUUUAAUUUGGCUCCUAGUUUCAGAGUAUUCAGUCCAUGAUCAUCUGACUCCAGGGCAAAAAUAUAGCAGAAGGAUAAAGCAGAGCAAAGCUGCUUAGUUUAUGACAACCCAGGAAGCAGAGUGGGGGAUGAGCAACAGAGAGGAAGGAAUGAAGAGCCAGAUUUAGACCUUAAUGUCACACCUGUAUGACCCACCCAGGCAUCCCAGUUAAGCUUGAGUCACACAAAAUGUACCCAGGGUAUUGGUUUAAAGAGCCCUGUUAAGCUUGAGUCACACAAAAAAGUACAUAGGAUGCUGACUCAGAGAUCUAGGGAGAUGGAAAAUAAGGGUUCAAAAAGAAAAGUUUAGGUCAAGUAGACACAAAAAUUAUAAACACAGACCAUGCAUUUAAUUUUUCUAUGUUUUCUUUUUAUUAUUGUAUUAAGUAAAUAAGUUUGACUAUGGGAGACUGUCUUUAAUCAUGUUUCCUAAAGCCAGAGAAUGAGAAUGUUGAGCCAAAGGAGGUGGGUGUUAAACAGAGCUGUGCUGAAUCUGGAGUGGAGAGCCAAGCAUGUUACUGUUGAAGUGUUUGUUUAAUGGAUCUGGGCAGUGAGCUAAUCUGUUAUGUGCUCUGAAUCAGGACACCAAAUAGCAAAGAGAGUGAGAAUAUAAGGCAGGGACAUCCUGAGGUACUGGGUGUGGCCAUAGAGAUAUUUUCUGAGGUAUCUGGCCUGUGGGUGUUAGACAGGAAGUUUUUAAAGGCAGUGAACCAGUUUAACUUGAAAUUUACAAUGGUUAGGAGGUUACAGAAUGAUAAAAGGAUAGAGAGCUAUUUCAGUGGAAGCAUGCCCACAGUACGCCAGUAUAGGAGGGGUAGUUGAAAUAUUUCACAGAUCUCUUUAACCAUUCUCCUUAGCUGUGUAACACCAACAUUAUGUCAGGUAAGAUUUACUUCCUGGCACUUUUGAACUUUUCAGUUUGGCUCUUAAUCUUGAUGAGUAAAGCCAGUGGUUUGUGACGCUAUGGACUAGGAGAACAGCAAUUAAUAUUAUUCUGAGGAGUCUUUUUCAUAGUCAUAAUAAAUGUUUUUCUCUUGUUGGUGAUAAAACACCAAAAUAAAAUGGCCUCUGCCUGUUCAUACCAGCAUUCAGACUGAAAAAGAUGAAAGGCUUUCCAGAGAAUGUUUAUUGGAAGGCAAAGCAUUUUCAUCCUGGAGGAGGCAGUGGCAGCAAAGUGCUCUGCAUAGCUGAGCACAUGCAGAAGAAGGAAGAAAAUGUGCAAGGAUGAGAUGGAAGAGGAGGCGAACGUCUGAGCACUAGUACCAGGACCAGUGAGGUCUGAGUAGUGCAGUACAGAGCCUGGGUAGCUGAGUGUGACUGUGUGUGCGCAAUGCAGUUCACACACGAGGAAUUAAGAAGGGCAUGCCAAGCAAAGAAGGCGGCAGUCAGACACAGACCAUUAAAACAGAGGGGCUUGUAACCAGUUAUCGGUGAAAGGGAGAACUAACUAGUGGUCAGAACUGAGGACUCAAAUGGACUAUGCAUAUAUUAUAAAUAUCUUAUUUAAUAGUUAAGCGAUACCUUUCAGUAUGUGUGCUAUAUUGAUGUUAUGUCUUUGAAAAUAAAUUAUUGUGUAGCUCCUGUUAUGAAUACCAAUAAGUUCCUGAAUACUUCAAUUUACGUGAGUUUUACCAGCCCCGAACUAACACCCAGAGUUGAUAUCCUCCUCUACUUUGUAUUUACAUGCUUUCUUGUUUUGCUGGCAAGAGUUGAGGAGCCUUGGGUGUUUAUUCAUAUAUUUGAGAUAAAAGAUCUUUGAUGUAAUAGCGUUGCAUAUAAAUGUUGACAGGCUGCCUAUGAUUAAAAAUAUUCCAUUUUCCAAGUGCAGAAAAGUGUAAAUUUAAUGAUGAAUUUAUACAGAAAGAUCACUCCACAAACAUUUGCUGAGGUAUGAAUAUAUAAUAUUUUUAGUAGAAACAAAUAGGAAUGGGCUGAAGUGUUUAUUAAAUGCACAUGGAAAUUCUUCACACGUGAAAAAUAUGACCAAGACUUUCCAGUAUUCAUAGAAACUCCCUUUUAACAGAUUUAACUCCAGACUCUCUCCUUGCAAUGGAUUGUAUUUAAUUGUUAUAUGGACUAGAAAAAAGCUACUCAUUUGUCCCACAAGUAUGAAGGCUGCUGUUUAUCGGAGGACAACAUGUUUACCAACAUGAUCUAGGCGAGUUGUUGGUACGCUGGUAAUCUUGAAAUGCUGACUUAUUAGAUUUUAAGAAGCAGGCAUGCAUAGUUGCCAAGUAAAUGGUUAUUUAACUAUAUGGUUAAUGGUUAUGUAACUAUAACUCAGUUACAUAUGAUUACCACUUGAUAAUCUAAGAAGCAUGACAUUGAGGCAUGAAACUAUACCUCUUUAAAUAAGUUGCUAAGGAGAGAAAAAUAUUCAAAGAUUAAUCUUAGUGUUUGUGUCUUCAACUAUUUCUAAGUGACCUUGGAAAUGCUUAAAGUGUAUGUAUGUAUGUAUGUAUUUGGCUAUUUAAUAACUAUAAAUUAUUUUUUGGUCCUUAUUAAAAAUAUUAUGAGGAUAGAAUAUAAGUUGGAAGGGAGUCAGUUGAAAAAUUUCAGUUCUUUUUUUCUAGGGGAGCUAUAUAGCAAAGAUAUUCUUAAAUAUUCUUCAUGUAUGUAAGGGGUCUUUCAUGUGAAAAAAAGGCAUAAGAAAAGUGUUUCCAUAUGUAUUAAGAAUUCUAGAGAGAGACUGGAGUUAGAUAACUGGGUUGUCAUGAGCUCAGGUGUGAGUAGCCCAUUCCUGACCAUACAGGAGUUAUAUAAUUUGUUCUUUGUAGCUGUCCUUGGCAGCUGCUUUCAUUUUUAGUACCAAAAGAAACAAAGUGAUUCUAAGGAGACAGGAAAACCAAGAUUUGAACUUUGAAGGCCAGGUUCAGAAGCACGUCAAGAAUUGAGGACAGUUGCUAGGCAGGAGAGCAUGGGCAGAGAAUGUGAUGUGCAUUGUGGGAGGUGAGGGUUAUGGUAUUUUGACUGUGGUAAUCACCACAUAAGGUAAAUGUAUGUCCAAUGUACACAUCACACACCUUGGAUAUACUCUCUUUGACAAAUUUUUUAAAAAAGAGCCAUGAGGACCGGGAUUGAAACAUGAUCCAGGGGUCAUGGUAGCAAAUGCAAAAAAUGUAAAAUUAGGGGGAUCAGAGGUUGGUCCUCUGCCUGUAACUAAGGUCUUGAGCUUUCUUGAUGGUUGUCUACUGUCUUUCUAAAUACUAUUCUUAAACAUUUUCUGUGAUUUAAACAUGAAUCUUCAUUUUUGUUUUACUCAUUGGUAUUAGAUGUUUUUCAGAUGCCUCAUAAUUCCUCUUUUUCAUAAAUAUUCAUCAAGAAGCUGCUUUGCAUAGCACUGUUAUUGGUGCUAGGAGCAGAUUACUUCCCUGGGAAGGUAUCUUGCAAACUAUGGAAAGACUAGGAAUUAACAACUGACCAGGGAAGAGCUAUACAAAAGAUGUAAGGUGCUCAUGAGCCUCUUUUUAUUAGAGAAGCUCAGACAAGACUUUUGAGGCUGAGCAUUUAGUAUGUGUUAUAGUUUGGAUGCAGUAUGUCUUCCAGUGGUUCAUGUGCUGGAGACUUGGUCUUCAGUGUGGUGACAUGAGAGGUGGCACAAGUAUACAAUCUAAGAACCAGGACCUAGUGGAAGUGAUUAGGUCAAGUGGGUCUGCCUUCAGAAGGAAUUCAUGCUCCUGGUGUGGAGUAAGUUAGCUCUUAUGAGAGUGAAUUGUCAUAAAGAGUAAAACUGGUCCCUCCCUAUUGUUGGCUUCCAUUCUCACCAUGUAAUCACUGCUUUUCCUAUCAUGAAGGUUUUAACCCCAAGGCCCUAAAAAGAGGAUGAAUAAAUGGGCCCAACUGAUAUUGAAUUACACAAACUUCUUUUUAAAAAUAUAUAUUAUAUUUAAAUCAGCUCUGUACUUAGUAUUAGGUAAAUUCAUUCUUUUGUCUCUUCUUUUUUGCCCGGUCUGGAAGGAAUUUAGACAAACUAAUCUGAGCUCUUACUUUUAUUACUCCUUUAUGGAUUGGCCUGAAUCAUUGCUUCAUGUCUAUAUUUCUCUGCUAGCUACUCUUCAUUCAUGUAAAGUUGCAGGAGGGAACAUUAAACUGGAUUUGGCCUCUGAUCACCUGCUUGUUUCCAAGUGAAAAUCAGGUAAUAUUGCUACAUGAUGAUAUUAAAGGAAAUCACCAACAGAGCGACAAGACAACCCACAAAGUGGCAAAAAAAAUUGCACAGUUGUCCCACAGACAAAGGACCUCUAUCUUGAACAUACAAAGAAUUGAAAAAAAGUCAUAUGCCUCCACCCAAAUUCAAAGACCUAAUCCAUAAAUGGACAUCUGAGAUGAACAUGCUUUUCUCAGAUGAAAAAAUACAAAUGCAAAUAAAUACAUACAAAAAUGUUCAAACUCAUUUGUCAGUCAAGAUAUGCAAAGUAAAACAGUGUUGAGAUUUUAUCUCAUCCUAGAAAGAAUGGCUAUCAUCAAAAAAUCAACCAAUAGCAAAUGCUGGAGGAGCUAUGUUGAAAAAGGAACCUUUCUCUACUGAUGGUAAGAAGAUAGACUAGUCUAACUGUGAAAAUCAAUGUGGAGAGUUCUUAAAAAAAACCAGGAGUAGAGGUCCUAUUUGAACCAACUAUUCCCUUUAUGAAUAUUUUCCCAGAAGAAUUAAAACAUCAUACCACAGUGAUAUGUGUGCACCCAUUUUCCUAGCAGCACAAUUUGUGAUAGCAAAAUCUUGGAAACAACCCAGGUGCCCAUCAACUGAGAAAUGGAUAAAAAAGAUAUGGUGUAAUGUAAUGUAAUGAAGUACUACUCAGACAUAAAGAAGGAUAAACCUGAAACUCGUAGGUAAAUGGUUGCAACUUGAGGCCAUACUCCUUAGGAAAUUAAUCAGACCAAUAUGUGUAACAUUAUUUUGUCUCACUAGUACGAAAAACUGAACAAGUAAAUAGAAUGAAAAUAUACAAUAGAUAUUGUGAAUUGGGAAGAAAUAAUUUAAAAGAAAAGAUAAGCUGUCACUGCGGAAAGAGGAAAAAAAGAAAGGAAAUAGGAAAAAAUAUAAUCAUAUACAAGAUAAUUAAGAUAGUUAGAUGGCUAGCUUCUCUUAGUUCCUUGAAAAGAAAGUUUUGUGCUAAUAUUGUUUGGACAACAUAUCAUGCCUAAAUCUUAUAUGCUGAACAAUAACCACAAAGACAAUACAUAACGUAUCAACUGUUGUAACCUUCCAACUAACCUGUUUUGAAACUAGAUUUCAUUGUUAUGUUUAUCGUUUUUCUUUCUUUCCUUAAAAUAUAAAUAAAUAAAUAAAUUAUUGUGUAAAUUUUUAUUAACUAUUAAAAUAUAAAUCCAGGAUUACUCUAUGUAUUACUCUGAAUGGGAUAAUUUUAUGCUGGAGAAUAGUAUGUUAAUCUGGAAUUGGUUUGGUUUAAGACUAUUCUAAUAUGAUUAUCGCUAACUACCUAGAGAGAAGCCCCAGAUAGUGAGAUAAAAAUAAGUUGAGAUGAUCUAAUAAUAGUGAAAUAAAAAACAUAAAAUUAGAUAUUUGGAUGAAUUUGAAAGGUAUGUAUUAAAUGAACUGAGCUGGUAUCCAGAUUAUUAUAGAGAGUAGGCAUCAGAAGCCCAGAGAACAAAAGUUUCUACUUAUAUAAAUAUGUCUACUGGAAAAAAAACAAAGCACAUCUAAUGAAAUAGUAUGUUGUUAAUUUUGAACUAAAUUAGGUACAGACAGAGGGGCUGCUUUGGUUUAAACAUCACUGUUCAAUUAAUGAAUAUAGUAACUGACUUGUUUGAAAUUUAUUUUCAUUCAUUUAAACCAUGGCAACAUCUUCUUCAGUUGUAUUUAUGUUUAUUUUUAAAUAGAAAAAAUGUAUGCGCUAGACAACUGAGACCAUAUAAAAGCCCGGCCGUGAUCCUCUACUCCUGUCUUUAGCAUUGAGCCAUGUCACCUUAUUGCUUUGCCUCGCUGUUAAUCUUUGGACUAAUGUUUUGUUACAUACUGGGUUGCUAUUUGGGUUAUUUAAGUUUUAAUUUAAAAUUUUAAUUAAAAACUUUAUUAAAUUUUAAUUUAAUAAAUAUUAAAUGAUCCAAAUGGUAAAUAAAAAUACUUGUUUUUUAUUACAAAAAAGAAAAUAGAAGUGUAUAAAAUGAAGACCAAUUGUAAUUCCAGCUAUGCAAAAUAAAUGUCGAUGUGAAAGAAUUACUAACAUUUUAUUGUAUAUCUACAAACCUAAGGCAUUGUUAUCAUUAAUCUUGUAGCUUGAAAGAUUAAGCUACAAGAUUAAGACAUGCUCUGUGCACGGUAAAGGACACUUCAGAGUGUGACUGGGUGCGUCAUGGAGGUUUGACAACACGGACUGGCCCUUUCCUCUCCUGCACACACCUGUUCUGCUUUCUAGCUGCCAUGAACUGAGCAGUUUGCCAUACACCACGGUGACGUUUCUUCUGCCUUACAGCCAGCUGAUUACAGACUGAGUCCUAUGAAAUUGUGAGCCGAAAUGAAUCCUCCUUUAAGUUGUGGAUGUCAGGUAAUUUGUCACAGUGAUGGGAAAGUUGACCAAUAUCAUCAAGUAUAAUUUAUUUUAUAUUUUGCUUACCACUGGGAAAGAAUGUUGUCCAUUAAGCUAUGACAUAAGCUAAAAAGUUUAUACUCACUGAAGAAGUUAUUUUAAACUUUUGUUCUAGGCUUCAACCAUGUAUAAUUUUAAAAUGCAUAUGAAAAGAAAAAUGUAAGAAAAAUGAAUUGGUUAAAACAGUGAUAAAGCCUCUUCACACUCACAGUCCAGCUUUUCUUUAUCUCCUGUCUCUCCUUCGCUUUCUCCCCCUCUUUAUCUCUGUCUCUGUCUCCCUCUGUCUCUCUGUUUUUCUCCCCAACACCCUAGUCUUUUCUUUCCAGUGCUGAGGAUCAAAUCAGCACAUCCUAGGUACACGCUUGAUAGCUGAGCUAUAUCCCUAGCCUUAUGUCACUUUUUGAGUCGAAGUUUUCAAUGUCUUCAUUUUCCUUCCCUCUGUGCUAUCAACAUCAGUAAUGUGACAUUUGUCUACCAUUUCCUAGAGUUUCAUCUAAGCUUAUCUAAUUUUCCCUUUUUUCUUCUAGCCCUGGAAAUUUCAGAUGUCCAGUUUUAGGUGGGCAUGUGGCAGCUCAGACUGAGAAAUUUCUGUUUCUUGGGAAUCUGGCGUGAUCAUGCUCUCAUUAGUGGGACAGGAGGAGGAGUGGUGUGUGCAACAUGCAGCUCACACCCAUAAGAGAAAGUCACUACCUUCUACCUUCCACUUUCUCUCUAUUUUUCCUGUGGACUCACAGGCAUGCAUAGUGACAGUGACCAAACAUUAAUAUUGUAGAGUAAGAUAUCCUAUAGAUAGUGCAACAGCUUGAUACAAAGAAUUUAGGGUUUGGAUUAUUGGUGGGAAAAAGUUGCCUACAUGCUGGGACUGCCUUGUGGGUUUUAGAUGAGGGAAAAAAAUACAUCUUCCAUUUUGAUAAAACAUUGCUAUUGUCAAAACAGGCAAAUCAAUAUCCGUAUUUUGUGUGCCAUUUCAAAAAUUCAUUUUUUAAUCUAAUAUCAUAUUGAAAAUUACAUUUAGAUGGUGUUAAAUAUUUUAAAUGGCUAGGUAACAUUAAAGAUUCAACUAUAUCAUUAUUUGUUUAACUAAAGCUCCAUCACUGGACAUUCAUGUUCUUAUAAUUUUUCUGUUAUAAUAUUGGCACAAAAACUCUGUUAUGUAUACAUGUAUAUACAUAUGUGUGUCUCUGUGUGUAUGCAGAUGGCUGAUCAUUUCCUAAAAUUCAAUUUCUGUAUGUACAAUUACUUGGUCAAAGGUCUUUCACAUUUUUAAAGCUUUUGAAACUUAUUACUAAUAUUAAUCCUGCUACCAAUAUUACUGUACUAAUUUAUUGAAUCAUUAGAUAUAUAUGUAAAUUAUAAUAUUUAAUUUUUAAACAUACUUUCCAUACCAUAAAUCUACAGAUCUUAAUUAUUCAGUUCUAUGGGUUUUAAUAAUUAUAUAUAGUCAUGUAACUGGCACUCAACAAAAAGAGAGAGAGAGAGAGAGAGAGAGAGAGAGUUCAUUUCUAUUAUGCAGACAGUUAUCUUGUGUUCUUUUCUCAAUCACCAUCCUACAGUAUAAACCAUUGCUUGAUUUCUUAUCUUGCCCAUUUUCAGACAAUACAAUAGAAUUUUAUAGGUAUUCUCUGGUUUCUGACUUUUUUUUUUUUACUUUCUUUUCUCCCCUGGAGAUUCAUUCUUGUUAGGUGUCAACAGUGUUCUGCUAUGAAGUUAUUGUGCUAAAAAGUCUGUUCUCUUAUUGAGAAAGAUUUGGAUUAUUUCCAGUUUGAAGAUAUUAUAAAUCUGACUUUUUAUACACAUAUGUUUUUCGUUUCAUUUCUCUUGGGCACAUACUCAAGAAUAGGACUGAUGGGUCAUAUGGUAGAUUUAUAUUUAAAUUUUAUGAAGAGAUAUGUGGCUUUCCAAAAUGUUUAUUCAACUGAAUGCUCCUACCAACAGUGUCUGAGAACAUCCUGGGGAACAUUUGGAAACUUAUCAGUCUUUUAACCCUUCUAAUGGUGUGGAACUGUUUGUUAAUUUGUGUUUUCUUAUGACUGGUAAUGUUGAGCUCCUCUAUACAUCCUUAUUCCAUUCAUAUGUAUUUUGUAACGGGUUGACCCAAUAUUUUUUUCAAGUUGAGCCUUUGGUUUUCAUUUUUGAUUUGUACAAGUUCUUUAUACAUUUUGGAAACAAAUACUUUAACCACAGAGAGUGGAUAGUGUAUUAUGCAUAUUUUCUUUUAUAAGCAGAUA
Molecule: long non-coding RNA, 12541 nt
Organism: Cavia porcellus (domestic guinea pig)
Lineage: Eukaryota; Metazoa; Chordata; Mammalia; Rodentia; Caviidae
Exons: 6
Source: RefSeq, a predicted model, not a curated record